Xiphophorus hellerii (green swordtail) is the source of this 1469-nucleotide long non-coding RNA. RefSeq lists it as uncharacterized. The record is from RefSeq and is a predicted model, not a curated record. NCBI's taxonomy places the organism in Eukaryota, Metazoa, Chordata, Actinopteri, Cyprinodontiformes, Poeciliidae. The transcript has 2 exons.
AAAUAACACUUCAUAAUAAAACUACUCACAAGUAAAAAGUACAGUGUAGUAGAAAUACUCCUAAAAGUACAUUUUCUUUUUCUAAAAAAGUUACUCAAGUGAAUGUAGCUGGUAAAUAAGUGUGGACAGUGCUAAGCUAGGUGUCAAAGGUCAGGCUGUUUGAUUUAUUCUUGUUUAUUUGUCCCACACAGCUUAAAACUAUUGUCUGUUUUAAAUAUUCUAAACCUGAAAGAACCUCAAAAUUAUGUUUUCUAUCAAAUCCUUCAGUUGAAAAAUAUUUCUUAAAUUUAUUCCAUACUGAGUGCAGGUGUUUCACAUCUCUAUCAUCAGGUUGUUUAUGGCAGGUUGAGCUCAAAUCCAGCCCUAGAAAACCGCUUUCCUAAAACAUUUAGACGCUUCCUUCAACAACACACCUAAAUGAAACCGCAGCAGUGGGUCAGUCAGCUCUGCAGAGGUAACGAGUCGUUCAUUUGAUUCUGGUGUGUUGGAGGAAUGAUGCAUCAGUCCGAUGCGUUUUGUUAUUUCAUUAACUUUUGUUCAUAACCUUGAUCUAAACGUGGUGAUGGCCGUUUUCUUAACUUUAGACCUGGUGUUAAAACCAAACAACGGCAUUUGUUUCACAAGAGUUUGAACGUGGUAUAUUUCAGAAACUGCUGAUCAUUAUGGAUGAUUUUCCUGUACUAUAAAUUCUCCCAAUAGCUAUUGCGAUAAACGACAAUAUUGUUGUUUUGAGAUUUUAUUAUUAUUUUAUUAUUUUAUUUUAUUUUUUUGAGAUUAUUUUGAAAUUUUCUUCUAUCUCAAGAGUUUAGGAGAAAUUGUUGACAGAAAGAUAAAAUCUCCAGUGGAAUAAAGGAAGCAGUAGUUUUAAUAACCACUGGUUGCAUCAACCUGCAGCAGCUGCACCAGGCGGCCAUGUCACCUCGACGGAGGUUUCUGACACCCUGCUGAUUAUACUUUAUGAAACAUACGAUACUGGCGAGGUGUACCUAAUGAAGUGGCCGUGCGUGUAUGCUGUCCAUUGAUGAAACGCUUUGAUCUGAAGUAGACCUCAGGCAGCGUGUCCUUGGCUCAGAGCUGCAGCUCUCUGAAGUAUGCCACUUAUCUUUGAUCAGAGUAGCAACAGGAGAGCGGCUCUUGACUCUGAAGAGCACAAGGACCAUCCACAUGUUUUCAAGUGUUUGUGCUGGUGAAGAGUCUAUUACCCGUGAAGAGAAAGUAGAUGUCCUCUGGGAAAUCUGUUGUGGGUUUCAGAAUAAAUAGAUUUGGAUUUAAAACCUUUUAAAGCGACAGUAUCAUGUAAAAUAAUUUUUUUAGCUUUAUAUCAUGUUCUAAAUUCCUUCAGACUAGCCAGCAGCAAUUAGCAGACAUCUUCUGAGCUCAUUAUAGGAGCCACUUCUCAGAGAAACGUCGUUAAAGGGUUAAGAGAGGAGCCAUGUUGUGAUGACUUCCUGAAGGCGGAGUUUCAGAAA